GCGGGAGUAGCUCAGUGGUAGAGCACAACCUUGCCAAGGUUGGGGUCGCGAGUUCGAACCUCGUCUCCCGCUCCA
Molecule: transfer RNA, 75 nt
Filed under: Pseudomonadota bacterium
Lineage: Bacteria; Pseudomonadati; Pseudomonadota
Also listed under: 2 other names
Description: tRNA-Gly
Rfam family: tRNA
About the family: Transfer RNA (tRNA) molecules are approximately 80 nucleotides in length. Their secondary structure includes four short double-helical elements and three loops (D, anti-codon, and T loops).
Source: RNAcentral